GGGUGUUUGGUGGAUGCCUUGGCGAAAGCCAGCGAUGAAGGACGUGGCUAACUGCGAUAAGCCCCGGGGAGUCGUUAACAGACUUUGAUCCGGGGAUUUCCGAAUGGGGCAACCCCUGAAGGUAAACCCUUCAGAUUCCUGUCUGAAUACAUAGGGCAGGAAGGCGAACCAGGAGAAUUGAACCAUCUCAGUAUCCUGAGGAAGAGAAAACGAAGUGAUUCCCCCAGUAGCGGCGAGCGAACAGGGAUGAGCCUAAACCUAACAGGCGUAAUAGUCUGGACGACGUUGUUUGUUAGGGGUUGUGGGAGGAAGUUGGGUCGGGGUCCAGCCCGGCCGCCGAGUUACAAACCGAAAGUUUAGCCAAACAGACUGGAAAGUCUGACCAGAGAAGGUAAUAGUCCUGUAGGCGAAAAACUGACGGCUCGGUGAACUUUUUUCCCGAGUAACGCGGAACCCGGGAAGGUCCGCGUGAAUCCAGCCCGACCAUGGGCAAAGGCUAAAUAUGUGCUUUCGACCGAUAGUGAACUAGUACCGCGAGGGAAAGGCGAAAAGAACCCCGGAAGGGGAGUGAAAUAGAACCUGAAACCAAACACUUACAACCAGCGGGAGGGCUAUGUCCCAAAGUCGCAAGAUUGCGGGAAACGCCUCACCGCGUGCCUAUUGAAGAAUGAGCUGACGAGUUACGAUGCGCAGCAAGGUUAAGCCGUUUUAAGCGGCGGAGCCGCAGCGAAAGCGAGUCCUAAUCGGGCGUCCAGUUGCGUAGCGUAGACCCGAAGCCGGGUGAUCUACCCUUGGUCAGGAUGAAGUCCUGGUAAUACGGGAUGGAGGUCCGAACCGGUGUUGGUUGAAAACAACUCGGAUGAACGGAGGGUUGGAGUGAAAGGCUAAUCAAACCCGGCGAUAGCUGGUUCUCCCCGAAAUAGCUUUAGGGCUAGCCUUCCGGAAUUAGAGAACGGGGGUAGAGCUACUGGAUGGAUGCGGAAGGGCACCACCCUUCCUAUUCCAACCAAACUCCGAAUACCGUUUUUCUGUACCGGGGGAGUCAGACAGCGGGGGCUAAGCUUCGUUGUCGAAAGGGAAACAGCCCAGACCGCCGACUAAGGUCCCAAAAUACAGGCUAAGUGGUAAAGGAAGUGUGUUCACCCAGACAGCCAGGAGGUUGGCUUAGAAGCAGCCAUCCUUUAAAGAAAGCGUAAUAGCUCACUGGCCGAAUACCCGCAAGGGUGUGAAUGCGCGCCUAAAAUUCAACGGGGCUCAAGCCUGUUACCGAAGUCGCGGAAUAUUGUGUCUUUAAGAGCAACAUUGGUAGGGGAGCAUUCCCUAUGCCUGCGAAGCCUGACCGUGAGGACAGGUGGAGGUAUGGGAAGCGAGUAUGUCAGCAUAAGUAGCGAAAAUCCCGAUGGAAACUCGGGACGCCGAAAGUCUAAGGUUUCCUGGGGAAGGUCAAUCCGCCCAGGGUUAGGCGGUGGCUAAGUCGAGGCCGAAAGGCGUAGAUGAUGCACAGCCGGUUAAUAUUCCGGCCCUGCCGUAACGGCGUUAUCAGCGAUGAGGGGAAGCAGUAAGAUAGACCAUCCGCUUAUUGUAUUGCGGUCUAAGCCGGCUGGGAGUGGUUCUCCGUAAAACCGGAGGACUGUCCCGCAAGGGACAACUCUCGACGGCGAAUGGUGCCCAAGUCCACGGAUGCGGGACACUGGUCGAGUCAAACUGCCAAGAAAAGCCUCUAAGCGAGUCGUUGUGGCAACCGUACCGCAAACCGACACAGGUAGACUGGCAGAACAUGCUAAGGCGCUCGGGAUAAUUCUCGUUAAGGAACUCGGCAAAAUUGCCCCGUAACUUCGGAAGAAGGGGUGCCUGAGUAGUUUUUAGUGUAAACUGGAGACGAAAAGGCCGCAGUGAAAUGGCUCCUGCGACUGUUUAAUAAAAACACAGGUCCCUGCUAAGUCGCAAGACGAUGUAUAGGGACUGACACCUGCCCGGUGCCGGAAGGUUAACGUGAGGGGUUAGGCGCAAGCCGAAGCUCUGAUCUGAAGCCCCGGUAAACGGCGGCCGUAACUAUAACGGUCCUAAGGUUAAUCAUUGAGGAAUAAGUUAGCCUUAGUAAAAUCUAGCUAUAUGCUGGAAAGUCUGGUGUAUCUCACAGUACUUUAAUGUAGUGCGACCCUUUCAGGGUCGCCAGCGAGGCUGAAAGCCUCGCACUACGAAAAUAGAGUGAAAAUCUGAUGAGUGCAGACAAUCAGCAGGAAAGGCUCAACUAUGCUGUGUCAUUCUGACCCUUGAGUGAAACGAAGGGGAAGAAUCUCGUUUUUGGUUGGGCAUCCUCAGAGACUAUACGCUAGAUGUCCCAAGUGGGAUAAAGAUAUAGUCCGUACCUCCUGGCGACAGGAGGAGGUUGACAGAAAUGAUCAACCCGCCACAAAAGAUCGUGGUCUUUAAGUAACAGACUAGAGCGAAAUUCCUUGUCGGGUGAGUUCCGACCUGCACGAAUGGUGUAACGACAGGAGCGCUGUCUCAACGAGAAACCCGGUGAAUUUG
Molecule: ribosomal RNA, 2532 nt
Filed under: Candidatus Omnitrophota bacterium
Lineage: Bacteria; Pseudomonadati; Candidatus Omnitrophota
Description: Candidatus Omnitrophica bacterium 23S ribosomal RNA
Rfam family: Bacterial large subunit ribosomal RNA
Source: RNAcentral